RNAcentral lists this unclassified non-coding RNA (208 nucleotides) under Hevea brasiliensis (rubber tree). Lineage: Eukaryota; Viridiplantae; Streptophyta; Magnoliopsida; Malpighiales; Euphorbiaceae. The record is from RNAcentral.
AAGGUCAAGGAAGGCGACCGUCAGGCGCCGGAAGGCUUCUACUCGAUUACCCCCGCGCAGAUGAAUCCGACGUCGGCGUAUUUCCUGUCGUUCAACAUGGGCUAUCCCAAUGCCUACGAUAAGGCAUGGGGCCGCACCGGAUCGCAGUUGAUGGUCCACGGCGAUUGCUCGUCGCGCGGCUGCUACGCGAUGACCGACGAGCCGAUCU